ACAGACUUGAACGGGUCGGUGCCGCUGAAUCCGGUCGAACUAUUAGCUUUCUUAAAACUAUUUCAGUAGGAGCCUCAUUAAACUACAAUAGAAUGACUUUAGCAGAUUAUAUACUUAACUAAUAUUUGUGUUGAAUUUUUUGUGAAUCAUGGUGUAAUAGGCCAAUUUGCCCGACCCAUUUUGUUAAACCAAAAAAAAAAAAAAAAGAAGAAGAAAGAAAAACAAAAUAUUAAAAUUUAGCCCAAAUGUCCAUUUACAAAAAAACCAAUAUUAAAGAGCCUAGCCCAAUAUCCC
This 294-nucleotide long non-coding RNA is filed under the name Gossypium raimondii (Peruvian cotton). RNAcentral's name for it is "long non-coding RNA (GRAI_LNC009830)". The record is from RNAcentral. Lineage: Eukaryota; Viridiplantae; Streptophyta; Magnoliopsida; Malvales; Malvaceae.